GGGGCGGGUGCUAUAAUGCAGUCGAGCGGACAGAUGGGAGCUUGCUCCCUGAUGUUAGCGGCGGACGGGUGAGUAACACGUGGGUAACCUGCCUGUAAGACUGGGAUAACUCCGGGAAACCGGGGCUAAUACCGGAUGGUUGUUUGAACCGCAUGGUUCAAACAUAAAAGGUGGCUUCGGCUACCACUUACAGAUGGACCCGCGGCGCAUUAGCUAGUUGGUGAGGUAACGGCUCACCAAGGCAACGAUGCGUAGCCGACCUGAGAGGGUGAUCGGCCACACUGGGACUGAGACACGGCCCAGACUCCUACGGGAGGCAGCAGUAGGGAAUCUUCCGCAAUGGACGAAAGUCUGACGGAGCAACGCCGCGUGAGUGAUGAAGGUUUUCGGAUCGUAAAGCUCUGUUGUUAGGGAAGAACAAGUACCGUUCGAAUAGGGCGGUACCUUGACGGUACCUAACCAGAAAGCCACGGCUAACUACGUGCCAGCAGCCGCGGUAAUACGUAGGUGGCAAGCGUUGUCCGGAAUUAUUGGGCGUAAAGGGCUCGCAGGCGGUUUCUUAAGUCUGAUGUGAAAGCCCCCGGCUCAACCGGGGAGGGUCAUUGGAAACUGGGGAACUUGAGUGCAGAAGAGGAGAGUGGAAUUCCACGUGUAGCGGUGAAAUGCGUAGAGAUGUGGAGGAACACCAGUGGCGAAGGCGACUCUCUGGUCUGUAACUGACGCUGAGGAGCGAAAGCGUGGGGAGCGAACAGGAUUAGAUACCCUGGUAGUCCACGCCGUAAACGAUGAGUGCUAAGUGUUAGGGGGUUUCCGCCCCUUAGUGCUGCAGCUAACGCAUUAAGCACUCCGCCUGGGGAGUACGGUCGCAAGACUGAAACUCAAAGGAAUUGACGGGGGCCCGCACAAGCGGUGGAACAUGUGGUUUAAUUCGAAGCAACGCGAAGAACCUUACCAGGUCUUGACAUCCUCUGACAAUCCUAGAGAUAGGACGUCCCCUUCGGGGCAGAGUGACAGGUGUGCAUGGUUGUCCUCAGCUCAGGUCGUGAAAUGUUGGGUAAAUCCCGCACCAGCGCACCCUUGAUCUAGUUGCCACAUUCAUUUGGGACUCUAGUGACU
RNAcentral lists this ribosomal RNA (1116 nucleotides) under Bacillus licheniformis. Its description in RNAcentral is "bacterial SSU rRNA". It matches the Rfam family "Bacterial small subunit ribosomal RNA", at positions 39 to 1150 of the family's 1533-position model. Lineage: Bacteria; Bacillati; Bacillota; Bacilli; Caryophanales; Bacillaceae. RNAcentral also lists the same sequence under 1 other name. The record is from RNAcentral.